Molecule: long non-coding RNA, 324 nt
Organism: Jaculus jaculus (lesser Egyptian jerboa)
Lineage: Eukaryota; Metazoa; Chordata; Mammalia; Rodentia; Dipodidae
Exons: 3
Source: RefSeq, a predicted model, not a curated record
AUCGUGUCCUUCUAAUCUAGCCAGCUGUUCAUGGCUAAGAAAAUGACGUUCAGCCUUAUUAGGCUCCUUGGAAGACCCAAUUAGUGCCGGAGCUGUGAUACUUCUCGUUUAUAAGGCUUUGAAGGAUACCACAAUCUGAAAUGAGCAGAGCCUGUUUAUGAGAACAGUUCAGCCAAAUUCAAUUGCAAGCGUGCCACUGUGAGGCAGUGAAGAGAAAAUGAGUCUUGGCUCCUGUGAAUGCAGUCAAUUUGGACCUCACUGGAAAUACAGCAUCUAAUCAAAUACAAAGCCAAUUUGUGAUUAAGAAUUUGGGACAACUUUUAA